Molecule: small RNA, 125 nt
Filed under: Marmota monax (woodchuck)
Lineage: Eukaryota; Metazoa; Chordata; Mammalia; Rodentia; Sciuridae
Source: RNAcentral
GCUGGGUGUGGUGGCGCAUGCCUAUAAUCCCAGAGUCUGGGGAGGCUGAGGCAGGAGGAUCGCAAGUUUAAAGCCAGCCUCAGCAAUAGUGUGGCACUAAGCAACUCAGUGAGACCCUGUCUCUA